Molecule: ribosomal RNA, 497 nt
Filed under: uncultured bacterium
Lineage: Bacteria
Description: partial 16S ribosomal RNA
Rfam family: Bacterial small subunit ribosomal RNA
Source: RNAcentral
GAUGAACGCUGGCGGCGUGCCUAAUACAUGCAAGUCGAGCGACCGCACGAUAAGCGUGCGUUUCUGAUGUUAGCGGCUGACGGGUGAGUAACGCGUAGAUAACCUACCUAUAAUACGUGGAGGACAUCGGGAAACCAGUGCUAAUACCGGAUAAUAUUUUCUACCGCAUAAUUCAAGAGUGAAUGACAGCUUUGCUGUCACUUAUAGAUGGAGCCGCGCUGGAUUAGCUAGUUGGUAAGGUAACGGCUUACCAAGGCGACGAUGCAUAGCUGAGCUGAGAGGAUGAUCAGCCACACUGGAACUGAGACACGGUCCAGACUCCUACGGGAGGCAGCAGUAGGGAAUAUUGGGCAAUGGGCGCAAGCCUGAUCGAGCAAUGCCGCGUGAGUGAUGAAGGUCUUCGGGUCGUAAAACUCUGUUGUUAGGGAAGAACAGCUGCAUAAGUAACUGCGGCCAUUCUGACGGUACCCAAUGAGAAAGCCACGGCUAACUACGUG